RNAcentral lists this unclassified non-coding RNA (330 nucleotides) under soil metagenome. RNAcentral's name for it is "partial contains 5.8S ribosomal RNA, internal transcribed spacer 2, and large subunit ribosomal RNA". The stretch from base 1 to 120 matches the Rfam family "5.8S ribosomal RNA", at positions 35 to 154 of the family's 154-position model. The record is from RNAcentral.
GAUGAAGAACGUAGCGAAAUGCGAUAAGUAAUGUGAAUUGCAGAAUUCAGUGAAUCAUCGAAUCUUUGAACGCACAUUGCGCCCCCUGGUAUUCCGGAGGGCAUGCCUGUUCGAGCGUCAUUUCACCACUCAAGCCUCGCUUGGUAUUGGGCAACGCGGUCCGCCGCGUGCCUCAAAUCGACCGGCUGGGUCUUCUGUCCCCUAAGCGUUGUGGAAACUAUUCGCUAAAGGGUGUUCGGGAGGCUACGCCGUAAAACAACCCCAUUUCUAAGGUUGACCUCGGAUCAGGUAGGGAUACCCGCUGAACUUAAGCAUAUCAAUAACGGAGGA